GAUCACAUAGCUCAGUUGGCAGAGCAUUGGACUAGUAUCCCAAAGGUCGCGGGUUCGACUCCCACCGUGACCA
This is a non-coding RNA of Paramuricea clavata, 73 nucleotides long. Lineage: Eukaryota; Metazoa; Cnidaria; Anthozoa; Malacalcyonacea; Plexauridae. The record is from the annotation of a GenBank genome assembly.